Long non-coding RNA from Cottoperca gobio, 1787 nucleotides. Lineage: Eukaryota; Metazoa; Chordata; Actinopteri; Perciformes; Bovichtidae. The record is from Ensembl.
AACAGGUUGCUGACAGCAGGAAGAGGCAGAGGGAGGACAGCUGCUCCAGAGGCCCUGAGGAGCCUCCUGAGAGAAGACUCCGUGGGGAUGCUGCCGUCCUGUCACAGCGUAGCUCCAGCUCCCAGCCCUCCACCUCUUCCUCUACCCCGCCACAGGCCAGGCAGGAGGAUGUCCAGCUGGAGGUUCAGGUAAGACAGGUGAUCCAGCCAGGACCCCUCCAGGAGCCUAUGGAGGACAGUCAGCCUGACGACGACGCGACCUUCUCCCUCCUGCCGGAGCCCCGUGGUCUCUCACCCUCUUCUUUUCUUACAGUGUCCGAGAGCAUCAUGGCCUGGAUGUCUGACUGUCCAUUCAGCCGGGAGAUGUGAGACUCCUGCAGGAAACAGGCCUGGUGCAGAGCUUCACUGCUGGACCAGCCAGUAGCUGUGACAGGACCACACACACACACACACACACCUUUCAUUUGAACAUUUUAUUUUUAAUUCCAUAUUAGUUUAUAGAUAGGAUUGAAGUAUUUCUCUUUUUAGUAUGUUGAUAAGUUUUACAUUGUGAAGGCACCUCUCUAACUUCUGAUAUCAAGUUUGCUUUUGCCUGUUAGUGUUUUCCCUUUUUCCUUGAAGGUACCACAGGAACGUAUUUGCGACAGACCUGGUCCGAGCCUCCCAGGGACUAAAAGCCACUCGAGUUGCUCUGGUGUCUUUUCACCUGGACUUAACCUUUGUCUUUUACUGACGGACACACUUCACAUUUGUAGCUUUUUGUUUGCUUGUUUCCUUUUUUACAAUAAAGACCUUUAAUUUCAUGUUUGUCUUGGCCUAAGAGCCAGGUUAUGACACCACAAAAAAAUAUAUUACAGUAGACAUAGUAUCAUUUGUCAUAAAAGAAUGUGAAUAUAAUUUGUCAUUAAAUAUUCCAUUAUGAAAAAUAUUUUUUAAUAUUAGCAUGAUAUAGAACAAUGUCAAAAGUCAUAGUAUAGUACAUCUUUAGAAAGUCAUAAAAAAGUUAUAGUAUUUCAUGAAAAAUGUGAAAAGACAUCAUCUUGUAGUCUGAUCCCUUCAAUAUUCAUUAUACUGUAGAUAUUAAACCAUGUAGAUAGUUUUAACUUCUAAAAAGAUUAAACCAACUUUGCAGAAACAAUCCCUGCUGCUCUGAACAAUCCACAGACCUCACUGCCAACACUUUAUUGUGAGGGACCUUUUCUUUAAUAGAAAGUGGUAGAAAGUCGUCCAAGAGAAAACUUUAGUGUGAGGUCUGUGAAUUAUCCAGAGCAACAGUGUCAUUGUUUUCGUAAAAUUUUCAUUUUUUGUGAGUAACUUAAGCAAAAUUCCUCUCACCUCAAGUGUAUUGAGAAGGAAGGAUCUGGAAAAAUUAAACCAAAACUAUCAGCGUGCCCCACUAAAGGUAAAUAUUUGUCAUUUGGGGGAACUGAUCCUUUAAAUCUUAGGACAAGAACACUAAACCACGAGACAAUAGCUGAAGUGCAAGCGUUUGUUUUUCCUAUUAACCGUCAGCAGAGAAACGAGACGAAACAAAGAGACACUGGAAUCAGAUCUUCUUGAAAGCUGCUACGUCGACACUCUGGAUCUGAAACAAAGCAAAAAGAAGAAACUUAAAUUACUUUACAGGAUAUAGCUAAACUGUUUGUCAAGUUACUGAAUGAAGUACAAUCUUUCCGCUUUUGUUCCAGCCAAAUUUUGACCACAUGAUGGUAACAAUGUGCUGACGGUGCCUGAAAAGCAGAUUCACUGACAUGUACAGCUGCCUGUUUAUUAUGGAGCCAGGACAGG